CACGCCGUAAACGAUGAGUGCUAAGUGUUAGAGGGUUUCCGCCCUUUAGUGCUGCAGCUAACGCAUUAAGCACUCCGCCUGGGGAGUACGGCCGCAAGGCUGAAACUCAAAGGAAUUGACGGGGGCACGCACAAGCGGUGGAGCAUGUGGUUUAAUUCGAAGCAACGCGAAGGACCUUACCAGGUCUUGACAUCCUCUGACAACCCUAGAGAUAGGGCGUUCCCCUUCGGGGGACAGAGUGACAGGUGGUGCAUGGUUGUCGUCAGCUCGUGUCGUGAGAUGUUGGGUUAAGUCCCGCAACGAGCGCAACCCUUGAUCUUAGUUGCCAGCAUUCAGUUGGGCACUCUAAGGUGACUGCCGGUGACAAA
Molecule: ribosomal RNA, 368 nt
Filed under: Bacillus sp. mrc49
Lineage: Bacteria; Bacillati; Bacillota; Bacilli; Caryophanales; Bacillaceae
Description: bacterial SSU rRNA
Rfam family: Bacterial small subunit ribosomal RNA
Source: RNAcentral